RNAcentral lists this ribosomal RNA (1397 nucleotides) under metagenome. RNAcentral's name for it is "bacterial SSU rRNA". It matches the Rfam family "Bacterial small subunit ribosomal RNA". The record is from RNAcentral.
GGUGAGUAAUAUAUCGGAACGUACCAUUCAGUGGGGGAUAACGUAGCGAAAGUUACGCUAAUACCGCAUAUUCUGUGAGCAGGAAAGCAGGGGAUCGCAAGACCUUGCGCUGAUUGAGCGGCCGAUAUCAGAUUAGCUUGUUGGUGAGGUAAAAGCUCACCAAGGCGACGAUCUGUAGCGGGUCUGAGAGGAUGAUCCGCCACACUGGAACUGAGACACGGUCCAGACUCCUACGGGAGGCAGCAGUGGGGAUUUUGGACAAUGGGGGCAACCCUGAUCCAGCCAUGCCGCGUGAGUGAAGAAGGCCUUCGGGUUGUAAAGCUCUUUCAGCCGGGAGGAAAACGCAUGGGUUAAUACCCUGUGUGGAUGACGGUACCGGAAUAAGAAGCACCGGCUAACUACGUGCCAGCAGCCGCGGUAAUACGUAGGGUGCGAGCGUUAAUCGGAAUUACUGGGCGUAAAGCGUGCGCAGGCGGUUUUGUAAGACAGGCGUGAAAUCCCCGGGCUUAACCUGGGAACUGCGUUUGUGACUGCAAGGCUAGAGUACGGCAGAGGGGGGUGGAAUUCCACGUGUAGCAGUGAAAUGCGUAGAGAUGUGGAGGAACACCAAUGGCGAAGGCAGCCCCCUGGGUCGAUACUGGCGCUCAUGCACGAAAGCGUGGGUAGCAAACAGGAUUAGAUACCCUGGUAGUCCACGCCCUAAACGAUGUCAACUAGGUGUUGGGAGGGUAAAACCUUUUAGUACCGGAGCUAACGCGUGAAGUUGACCGCCUGGGGAGUACGGCCGCAAGGUUAAAACUCAAAGGAAUUGACGGGGACCCGCACAAGCGGUGGAUGAUGUGGAUUAAUUCGAUGCAACGCGAAAAACCUUACCUACCCUUGACAUGCCAAGAACUUUCCAGAGAUGGAUUGGUGCCCGAAAGGGAACUUGGACACAGGUGCUGCAUGGCUGUCGUCAGCUCGUGUCGUGAGAUGUUGGGUUAAGUCCCGCAACGAGCGCAACCCUUGUCGUUAAUUGCCAUCAUUUAGUUGGGCACUUUAACGAGACUGCCGGUGACAAACCGGAGGAAGGUGGGGAUGACGUCAAGUCCUCAUGGCCCUUAUGGGUAGGGCUUCACACGUCAUACAAUGGUCGGUACAAAGGGUCGCCAAGCCGCGAGGUGGAGCCAAUCCCAGAAAGCCGAUCGUAGUCCGGAUCGCAGUCUGCAACUCGACUGCGUGAAGUCGGAAUCGCUAGUAAUCGUGGAUCAGAAUGUCACGGUGAAUACGUUCCCGGGUCUUGUACACACCGCCCGUCACACCAUGGGAGCGGGUUCCGCCAGAAGUAGGUAGCCUAACCGCAAGGAGGGCGCUUACCACGGCGGGGUUCGUGACUGGGGUGAAGUCGGAACAAGGUA